This 140-nucleotide microRNA precursor is filed under the name Leersia perrieri. Its description in RNAcentral is "pre miRNA mir-395". It matches the Rfam family "mir-395 microRNA precursor family". From Rfam's summary of the family: mir-395 was identified in both Arabidopsis thaliana and Oryza sativa computationally and was later experimentally verified. mir-395 is thought to target mRNAs coding for ATP sulphurylases. The mature sequence is excised from the 3' arm of the hairpin. The record is from Rfam by way of RNAcentral. Lineage: Eukaryota; Viridiplantae; Streptophyta; Magnoliopsida; Poales; Poaceae.
UUGUCCACUGGAGUUCUCCUCAAACCACUUCAGUAGAUAGCCAGCUAGGCCUUAUUGCAUUGCACUGCUAUGUAACUGUAGGCAUGGGGCCAAAAGCUAGCUGUGCAUAGUGAAGUGUUUGGGGGAACUCCGGAUGGCAA